AUACAAUUAUAAUUUUUUAAGUAUAAGUAGACAUUUAUUUAUAUGUUAUAUAAUAAACUUACUUAUACUUAAAAACUAGGGCCUAGACGUUAGGCACUUGAUUGUCGUCCGACUAGCGCCUAAUGCCUUUUUGAUUAAGAAACAUGUGUAAAAAUUGAUCAAGUGAACUUUUUACAUUAGAAAACAUGUUUAAAACUCACUAAGUUUGGGAUAUUUAUUUUGAAAAUUAUUUUUGGGUCUUAAUGUGUGUGCCUGGUGGGGCCCAAUUCUUUGGUGUUGUUCCCCCCUUCGGCCCACUCUCCUAUCUUCUCUCUUCUCUCUCCCCGUUAAAGUUCUCUCUCUCACCUCUCUCCCUCAACUCACUCUCAACUUUCUUUUUUCUCUCUUAGCAAGCACCAAGAUGGUGCCAAUGGAAAGCCCCAUUUGAAAACCACCAUUUGCGGCGAGGCCUUUCACCCACCACUACUUGGACCUCGUCACCAUGAACCCUAGACAAGGACUUGGGAACUCAACAUGGUAAAGGCCACGGUUCGUGAUCUCCAGCGAGUCUCCCACACCUCCGACGUUGGUGAGCCUCGAAAAACUCUAAACCUUUCCCUUUGGUCCUCAUAUUUAGUUUUUGACCGUAUUGGUGUGUUUUGGACGUCAAAUGUUUUGGACAUCAAACUACAAAGAAAACACCACAGGAAGGCUAAUUUCGAGGUUCUGGAUCCGUUUUCGACGUCAGUUUUCCCAAAUUCAAUCGUUAUGAUAGUGUUUUAUUAAUUGGUACCUUUAUGUGCUUAGGUGCAAUUGUGUAUGGCAUUUUCAUCCUCUCUUGUUUGCACGGCUCUUAGCCAACUGGGUAAGGUGAGUGGACCCUUUCUAAAAUGGAUAUUUUUCUAUUAGAAAUACAUACAUGAAAAACAUGAUUUUAUGACUACUUUUUAUGCAACGUUUAUGAGUAAAUUAGUUUCACACUUUAUGAUAAUCAUGCUUUAUCGAUUCUACGUUCUUCGUAGUAUAUAUGAUAGAUGACUAUAUACUAUGAAGAUAUUUUACGAUACGACGUUUUAACUACUGAACUCGGAUUAAGAUAGUUAUAUAUAUUAGAAAUUUUAUGUUAAUGUCCUUACGUACUUACUUAGUGGUUAUUCGAAUGUCCUGCAUACGGGCGAUGAGACUUAUAUUGGCUUCGGCCUCACGUUGGUAGAUGGCUUCGGUCGGGCGUGUGUAGGAGCCUACGGGUGAGAGAUAUUUAUAUUGUCUUCAGCUGGGUGUUGGUAGAUGGUUUCGGCCAGGAGAUAUAUGAAUUGGCUUCGGCCGGGCAUGUGUAGGAGCCUACGAACGAGAGAUAUUUAUAUUGGCUUCAGCCGGGCGUUGGUAGAUGGCUUUGGCCAAGCAUGUGCAGGUGCCUACGGGCGAGAGAUAUAUUAUUGGCUACAGCCGGGUGUUUGGUUGGUGCCUACGGGCGAUGGUUUUGCUUAUGGGCAUAUGAUCUGCCUACGUGCACGUGGUGUAGAACCUUCAGAUGAAUGAAGAAGUGUUUUAUAUGCCUUCGGACGAAUGAAAUACUAUAUAUAUGUAUAUUCAUUAUAUAUAUAUAUAUACCACUACUAAACACACUAUAUAUGAUAUAUGUUUUAUUGAAAGGUUUUAUGGCAUGCUAGGAUUUUUGGAAAACCUACUACAUAUUAUGCUAUAUGAGAUUUCUAAACCGGGGGUUAGUACGUUAAAGAUUAACUGUUUGAUUACUACUUAUAUAUCAACUUGGUCCACUCAUGUUUUGUUUUGCCCCCCCUCAGGACUUAGAAUCAAGGCAUACAAUCAUGGUGUCAAGGCACUUCCGCAUCGGCACCUUCGAGUCCUCUCGGUGUAGGACCCUAUCCUUUGUUUAUUCAAUUUUAUUAUUCCUUUCUAGUGUUUCAGUUUAGUUGUGUGCUCUGAACACGUUACUCAUUUGCAUAUUCAUUGUAUUUAAAUUUAUAAGUUUUAUUUAUAUUCUUUGGUUCUCAUGCAUGUUAGUAUGACUUCGUCACCUUUGAGUAUCGACGAACACGUGCCGACCCUAGGUAUUUGGAGGUUAUCUGGGUCAGGCGUGUCAGAGGUGAUUUAGCAACUUGAUUGGUGGUGUGUUUGAAACUUUCAGAUAUGGGAGGUGAAGGAAGUGAGCUUGUCUACAAACCAAGA
RNAcentral lists this long non-coding RNA (2169 nucleotides) under Malus domestica (apple). Its description in RNAcentral is "long non-coding RNA (MDOM_LNC001519)". Lineage: Eukaryota; Viridiplantae; Streptophyta; Magnoliopsida; Rosales; Rosaceae. The record is from RNAcentral.